GGGGCACGUAAGGCACGUCCGGACUACUGUGGACUUUUGAUCCAUAGGUUCCGGGUUCGAGUCCCGGGCGGCCCACCA
RNAcentral lists this transfer RNA (78 nucleotides) under Mangrovihabitans endophyticus. Its description in RNAcentral is "tRNA-Lys". Lineage: Bacteria; Bacillati; Actinomycetota; Actinomycetes; Micromonosporales; Micromonosporaceae. The record is from RNAcentral.